Myotis davidii is the source of this 4389-nucleotide long non-coding RNA. RefSeq lists it as uncharacterized. The record is from RefSeq and is a predicted model, not a curated record. The transcript has 2 exons. NCBI's taxonomy places the organism in Eukaryota, Metazoa, Chordata, Mammalia, Chiroptera, Vespertilionidae.
UCGAACCUGCAACCUUUCAUGCGCUAGACGACACCCAACCAACUGAACCACACCGGUCAGGGCAUCAUUUUUCCCACAUUCUAAAUCAGCCAUCUCCUUUUUUUUUUUUUUUUCACUUAAAUAAAUAUUUGUUUUAAAAGGAAGCUUUAUUUCACCACUUUACAUGGAAAACCAGCAUCAAUUACAGGAAAGAGGAAGUAGUAUAAAAAUAUCUUUUUGUUUUCAUUGUCUAAUUUAUUGAAGGCUCUGGGCUUGUGUUUUUCCUUAUGUGUGUUUGUUCAUGUGUAGAAAGGGAGACGAACGGAUGUAGAGACGCAUUCAAGAUAUACUAGCAUCUAACCAAGACCAUCUCCUCGACCUAAUCAGGAGAACGGAAAGAGAUAUAAUUCAGUAUCAUCUGGUGCAAGCAUGCGUUUGACAUGCUUGAUCUAGUGUUACACUCAAAUGUCAUCUAAAACUCAGUGAUACACACCCCAUGCUUUGGGAAACACCGAAGUAGAAAAUCUUACCCAAUAAAUAACAUUCAUUGUUUGCCUGAAUUUUAGUGAAUAGCGGCUUUCUGCUUUUAGGGCUGGUUGGAGGGGAGCCAGGGUAGCAUUUAGUGGGGAAACGGACCAGGGCAUUUGGCAGGGCUUCCUGGUCACUAAUGCUCUUCCUGUGCCUUCAGUCUUGGAGUCUCACCCGCCUGAUGCUCUCACAGUAAGAGUGUUCGGGGCAUGCUGCGUCUCUGAUGUCACUAACACUUUAGUAAGUUACUCUGGUCAGCUCUUUUUCUAGUGUGGUAAGCCAUGGGUGGGAGCAGGACUGAGCGGAGGUCCCUGCACGUGUGGGGCACACCAGGAAAAUCGGAGGGGACAAAAGGAGGAAGUGGGGUUCCAAAGCCAAGCCUAAAUAUUUGCCUAACGCUUUUAGCUGGGGCUUUUCCAGGGCUUCUCUGGAAUGCGUGCUCUGAUGGGACAGCAGGAAGUGUUGUCUCUGAGCUUGUGAUGCAAAGCUUUGCAUGUGGAACCACUCUGCCCCCUCACACUUGGCCCUUACGAGGGAAUAGCUAAGAAACCAGUAGCUAAGAGAGCACAGUGAGGAGGAGGGAGGGGUGAGCUCUACCUUUCUCACCUCUGAAGCAUCCCAGGGUCAGCUCAGGCGCUCAGCGUUGCUGCCCCAUAAAUGCCCUGUUUUGGUGUGAAAUGAAUUCAACCCCAGCUCUGUGAUGAGGCAGGGCCCGUGGGGCCUUACCGUGUUCUGAGGACAGAUGGAGCUGAGCCAUACGGCUUCCUGGAGACUUGGGGCCCAGUUUUGGUGUGACAGCCUCUGUCAUCCUGUUCCCUGUUGCACUUGGGACCUGAAUUGGAGGUGCGGUCAGGGAAGCAGGCCUGGAGAGGUGGGGGACUCCCCCUCGUGGGACGGAGCCACCCUUGCUUUGUGUCUGAUGCCUCCCAGGUGAGAAGUAGCUCAUUAGCUUAGUUAGUGCGAUAAGCAAGUCAGCCUCCCUUGCAGAUUUGCAAAUGAUUGAAAACCACCUGAUAGGAGUAACAUGAAGGGGAUUUAUGGGAGCAUAUAAAUAGUUCAAGGAGGUAAAAAGGGUUCAGUGUUAACAGUCCCUCCUCCUUCUCCUUAUUCUGUUGUCCCCUGCUCUGGCUCCCAGCAGCCGGGGUCAGCAUCCUACUGGAUCAGCAACCCCAGAGUCCUUUUCCUUCGUAGAUUUAGCUGUAAUCUUGAGACAGACUCCUGAUUGGCUAGACACAGGUCACAUGCUCAUCCCUGAGCCAAUCGCUGUGGCUGGCUCUGGGUCAUGUGCCCAGUUAUAUUAUUCAGCAGCACCCAAGCAUCCUGACUGGGAGUGGCCGUGAAUAGGUUCCCUGAAAGAAAGCUGAAGCCUGGACCGGAAUGGGGGUGAUUGACAGACAGGCAAAACAGCAGAUGUCUCCUCAGUUAGUUCUGGGCCAGAACAAAUAAUGAGUCGGGGAUCAUAUUCAUUUUUCUGGCUAGCCAGCCUUGGGCACCUGGCUCUAACAAGCUUUUAAGGCAUAGUGGUAGCUGGCAACGGAGGGAGCCUCAGUGUAGAAGCCAUUCCACCAACUGCCCAGAUUACAGGAAUGGCCUUCAGAUGAAUAGUGGCUGGUGCGGUAUCCUCCACACACAUCCAGAUGUGGCCAAGGUGUCCUGUAGGGGGCUGUGGUCAUCCUGGGCACAGGCCGCAGACACCAGGACUUGAUGUCCCUACAUUCCGGCAGGAGUGCUCCAUGCUUCCCGGGGCACCUACUGUCUGCUCAUGAAAAAGCCCGCCCGCCCUGCAAGCAUCCUUUCUGUCCAAAUCAGGCUCGGAGAGAGACUGCUACUGGGUGCAGGUUUCUUCCUGGGGUGACAAGCAUGUCCUAAAACUGAUUGUGGUGCCGUAGCACAACUCUGAAUCUAUAUUUUAAAUGGGUGAAUUGUAUGGGUCUGAACUGUAUCACAAUAAAAAUGUUAUAUAAACAUACACACGUGCACAAAACCUGCCCAGAGGCCUGGGCUGUGUAGAUGGACGAUGGGGCCGGGGACGAAGCGACGUGUAGCCUCUCCCAGUGCCAUUGAGUGGCAGCUGUCAUCGCUGGGCUCCGGGCACAGCAAGCUGUGAAAUGAAAAGCUGCUGCUCAACCAAGCUCGUUGCCCAGAGCCUGUGUCUGGCUCAGGCCUUUCCCAGGGGGAGAGAGGACGUUUGUCCGGAGAGUUUGGAGACUAGGACAGAGGAGCACGGGACUCGCCAGGACCCGAGGACGUGUGUGUGGCUUCGCAGAGAGCUGGGGAGGUUCCAGAGAGGUUUCCUGGGUGCUCUUCAAGCUAAAAGUCUGAGGUGGCCAACUGCCUUUUCUAUCAGAAAACCAGUGCCAGGGGCCUCCUAGACUCCGACAGGCAAGACAGGGACACGAAGAGGGAGAGGCGGAACUGGGAAGUGAGUGGACGUCUUAUCUUGUCCCAUGAACUCCCGUGGCACCUGCAGCUGUCUCCUGUCCCCUCUGUGCUGGUGGCAUCCAGACCAGCUGUGGCUUUCCCCAGAUGCACCUCCUGGGCAUUUCAACAUUAAUUUACUUCCUUCUGUUUACCUAGUGCUGGUCAUGCUAGGAAUAAAGAAAAAAGCUUUGUCCUUCACCAUAACCUUUGAGGGACCCACAGGCCAUUGACUGAACCUGGUUUGCACCCAGAACUGUAAUGGGGCUGCAAAGAGAAGAAGGGAUGAGGACGAGCCAGUCCCUGCUCUUAUGAUGUCUAUAUUCUGGUCGGAAGGUUUUGAGGCCACUUAAACCCCCGUUAGGACAAUGCAAAUGGAAAUCUCAAUGACACACCCAUUUUUACCUAAUAAGUUGGGCAGAAAUUUUAAAAUUUGGUUUCAGUCGUUGGUGAGGGUUUGGGGAAUCAAAUUGUCUUCCCUGCUGCCGAUGGGAGUAUAAAUUGGGGUUGAGAUUUUGGGGGGCAACUUCUGAGCCAGUCAUCCCACUUCUUGGAGAAACAGUGUCAUCACACCAGGGGCUUCCAUGGGGGUGUCUUGGCAGCACCGAGAAUGGUAGUGACCGUUGAGGCGCAACCACGUGGACUGUGGCAGAGCCACAUCCUGAAAUGCCAUGUGACAGGUCCAUGGGUACCAGCCUGGGAAUCCAGAUGAGAAAACCAGUUGCAGGAUGAUUUAGUUAAAAAGGAAGUCUAAUCCAGCAGCUCACCCCCCAAGCCAGCAGGUCCUCCGGCUCCUCCUCCUUGUGAGCAGUGGUGCCCCCGACCCCAUCUCCUCGCUUGGCCCCCACCCCAGUGAGAGAGAGAGAGAGAGAGAGAGAGAGAGAGAGAGAGAGAAAUGGUGUGAUACCUCCUAUAGAUGCCUCUGGUGUCCCAAUCACUACAGCCCCAUCCUUGGGAGGAGGGAGCCCUCCUGCUCCCAGGCUGUGUUUGGCAAAGCAUAUCUCUGCCGCCCUGUGUUCCGUUAUCUGAGCUCCCAGAGAGGGACCAGGAAGGGCCAGCAAAGAUCCAAGACAAUCUCAGGGACUUUAAAGGGCGAAGGUGUUGGGUCCAGCAUCCCUCCCCGGCUGUGGAGUGAGAACCCUGAGCUGGGGGGGGGGAGGCACUGGGCUCUGACAACAGGGUCCCCACAGCUUCUGGACUGGGUGGGGUGAAGUCCAGGGCUGGAUGUGGGCUUGCAGUGGACGGAGGAGCAGACUCGCCCAGGGUGUGGGCUCCCGGGAGCAGCUGCGGCUGGGGUGGUGUGAGGUGCUGCAGCUCUCUGUCAAAGUGUGUGUGUUCUGUGUUGAUUCAGCAAAUUUACUGAGCACCUGCUCUGAGCAGGUGCAUCAACGAACCAGAAAGACAGGAAUCUUGCGCUUCUGGAGUUGACAUCUGAGUGGGGAAGGGGGUUCAGGAAACAAAGGA